RNAcentral lists this ribosomal RNA (291 nucleotides) under uncultured bacterium. Its description in RNAcentral is "partial 16S ribosomal RNA". It matches the Rfam family "Bacterial small subunit ribosomal RNA", at positions 773 to 1060 of the family's 1533-position model. The record is from RNAcentral.
GUGGAUUAGAUACCCUGGUAGUCCACGCCGUAAACGAUGGGCACUAGGUGUAGGAGGUAUUGACCCCUUCUGUGCCGAAGCUAACGCAUUAAGUGCCCCGCCUGGGGAGUACGGCCGCAAGGCUAAAACUCAAAGGAAUUGACGGGGGCCCGCACAAGCGGUGGAGCAUGUGGUUUAAUUCGACGCAACGCGAAGAACCUUACCUGGGUUUGACAUCCGCUGACAGUCCUGGAGACAGGAUCUUCCCCGCAAGGGGACAGCGAGACAGGUGCUGCACGGCUGUCGCCAGCU